Long non-coding RNA from Thalassophryne amazonica, 166 nucleotides. RefSeq lists it as uncharacterized. The record is from RefSeq and is a predicted model, not a curated record. Lineage: Eukaryota; Metazoa; Chordata; Actinopteri; Batrachoidiformes; Batrachoididae. The transcript has 3 exons.
UUUGUACCUUGAGACAAACCUGUAUCGGAGGUCUACAGCCAAUUCCUUUGACGUCAUGCUUUGUUUGUGGUCUGACAUGCACUGUCAACUGUGGGACCUUAUAUGUAGACAGGUGUGUGCCUUUCCAAUUCAUGUCCAAUGAACUGAAUUUACCACAGGUGGAUUC